UUUUGAGGGGACUGUUGCUGGUCUUGUAACAAAGGCAUGUGCACGUCUUCUCUCAUUCUAUUCAUCCACCUGUGCACCUUUCUGUAGAAGCUUUUAGGUCGUUGUUAAGGGGUUAUACCUCGGUAUACCUCUGUUGAUGAUCCUGGGCUUCUAUGUCUUACAAACUCUAAUUAAAUGUAUUUGAAGGUCUUUUUAUCGGGACUUAACUGGCCCUUUAAAACUUAUACAACUUUCAGCAACGGAUCUCUUGGCUCUCGCAUCGAUGAAAAACGCACCGAAAUGCGAUAAGUAAUGUGAAUUGCAAAAUUCAGUGAAUCAUCGAAUCUUUGAACGCCCCUUGCGCCCCUUGGUAUUCCGAGGGGCAUGCCUGUUUGAGUGUCAUUAAAUUCUCAACUUCAAAAGUUUUUGCUUUUGGAGCUUGAACUGUGGAGGCUUGCUGGCAUCACUAGAUGUUCUCGGCUCCUCUUAAAUGCAUUAGCGGAAACCGGAUUAGUCGGACCUAAAGCCUUGGUGUGAUAAUUAUCUACCCCUGGGUGUCUGACAGGCUCUUUGGUUGGGAUAGCUGCAACUAAGCUUGCUCUGUCUGCUUACAUUUCAAAGAGCUGUGGGGUGUCUGCUCUCUAACCGUCUGUUUCACGGACAAAGUAAACAUUGACUUGUUUGACCUCAAAUCAGG
Molecule: ribosomal RNA, 676 nt
Filed under: Omphalotus nidiformis
Lineage: Eukaryota; Fungi; Basidiomycota; Agaricomycetes; Agaricales; Omphalotaceae
Description: eukaryotic LSU rRNA
Rfam family: 5.8S ribosomal RNA (bases 228-381)
Source: RNAcentral